This 249-nucleotide ribosomal RNA is filed under the name uncultured bacterium. RNAcentral's name for it is "partial 16S ribosomal RNA". It matches the Rfam family "Bacterial small subunit ribosomal RNA", at positions 57 to 305 of the family's 1533-position model. The record is from RNAcentral.
GCAAGUCGAGGGGUAUAAUUUAGCUUGCUAACUUAGGGACCGGCGCAGGGGUGUGUAACGCGUAUGCAAUCUACCUUGUACAGGGGGAUAGCCCAGAGAAGUUUGGAUUAAUACCCCAUAGUAUAGAGCAGUGGCAUCACUAUUAUAUUAAAGAUUCAUCGGUACAAGAUGAGCAUGCGUCCCAUUAGCUAGUUGGUAUGGUAACGGCAUACCAAGGCAAUGAUGGGUAGGGGUCCUGAGAGGGAGAUC